RNAcentral lists this ribosomal RNA (221 nucleotides) under uncultured bacterium. Its description in RNAcentral is "partial 16S ribosomal RNA". It matches the Rfam family "Bacterial small subunit ribosomal RNA", at positions 118 to 340 of the family's 1533-position model. The record is from RNAcentral.
UGAGCAAUCUGCCCUUCACAUCGGAAUAACCAUUGGAAACGAUGGCUAAUACCGAAUAUGACUUCGGAUCGCAUGAUCUGAAGUGGAAAGCUCCGGCGGUGAAGGAUGAGCUCGCGGCCUGUCAGCUUGUUGGUGAGGUAAUAGCUCACCAAGGCGAUGACGGGUAGCCGGCCUGAGAGGGUGACCGGCCACACUGGGACUGAGACACCGGCACGACCCCG